This 410-nucleotide ribosomal RNA is filed under the name uncultured bacterium. RNAcentral describes it as "bacterial SSU rRNA". It matches the Rfam family "Bacterial small subunit ribosomal RNA", at positions 370 to 772 of the family's 1533-position model. The record is from RNAcentral.
AAUGGGCGAAAGCCUGACGCAGCGACGCCGCGUGAGGGAUGAAGGUUUUCGGAUCGUAAACCUCUGUCAGAAGGGAAGAAACCGCACCGUGCUAAUCAGCGGUGCAUUGACGGUACCUUCAAAGGAAGCACCGGCUAACUCCGUGCCAGCAGCCGCGGUAAUACGGAGGGUGCAAGCGUUAAUCGGAAUUACUGGGCGUAAAGCGCACGUAGGCUGCUUUGUAAGUCAGGGGUGAAAUCCCACGGCUCAACCGUGGAACUGCCUUUGAUACUGCUUAGCUUGAAUCCGGGAGAGGGUGGCGGAAUUCCAGGUGUAGGAGUGAAAUCCGUAGAUAUCUGGAGGAACAUCAGUGGCGAAGGCGGCCACCUGGACCGGUAUUGACGCUGAGGUGCGAAAGCGUGGGGAGCAAA